RNAcentral lists this ribosomal RNA (492 nucleotides) under uncultured bacterium. RNAcentral describes it as "partial 16S ribosomal RNA". It matches the Rfam family "Bacterial small subunit ribosomal RNA", at positions 29 to 507 of the family's 1533-position model. The record is from RNAcentral.
AGUGAACGCUGGCGGUAGGCCUAACACAUGCAAGUCGAACGGCAGCACAGUAAGAGCUUUCUCCUACGGGUGGCGAGUGGCGGACGGGUGAGGCAUACAUCGGAAUCUACUUUUUCGUGGGGGAUAACGUAUGGAAACUUACGCUACUACCUCAUACGACCUACGGGUUAAAUCAGUGGAUCUUCGGACCUUGCGCGUUUGAUUUAGCCGGGGUCGCAUUAGCUAGUUGGCGAGGUAAAGGCCCACCAAGGCGACGAUGCGUAGCUGGUCUGAGAGGAUGAUCGGCCACACUGGAACUGAGACACGGUCCAGACUCCUACGGGAGGCAGCAGUAGGGAAUAUUGGGCAAUGGGCGAAAGCCUGACGGAGCAAUGCCGCGUGAGUGAUGAAGGCCUUCGGAUUGUAAAGCCCUGUUAUUAGGGAAGAAAAGAUGUGGAAUUAAACCUGGACGUCUUGACGGUACCUAAUCAAAAAGCAACGGCUAACUACGUG